GGCAGGGACCUUCCCUGAAACUGAGACAGCAUGAAGACACUCCCCACUUCAUCCCAUGCUUGAAAUCACACCCCCCAUAUAUACACCCUUCACCCCAUGUCACUCAGAACAGGCAUGAGUUUCUUAGAAGGAAUAUGAAAGGGAAAUGGGGACCCGCUCAAGGGAGAGAGUGGGUCCUCUCACAAGGGCAGCCUUUCCAGCUUUACAAUUUCAUUGUGGUUCUCAGGGAUUUCUAGAGUCCCACCCAGGUCCAUCUCUUGGUUUUUGACUGACAGUCUGAUGACAUCAGACUUUCAAGUCCCCACUGCCAAGAAAACUCAAAGUCACUUUGGCCUAUGCUGACCUGUUCUAUUUGGACCCUGUUCUUGCAGAUUUUACGGUUAGGGGGAAUUAUCUUUUUCUCCCUGAGUUCUGAGAUCUGGUCUGUAUAAGGGUCACGAAAGUCCCCCCACACACACACACAUAUACAGGCCUGCAUUUUCCUGCAGAUAACACGUGAUUGGCCAAGGAAUGUGAUAUAUCCUGUCCAUUUAAGUCAGGCAAGGCUGUAGGUAAAUUUCUUUUAAAAAAUGAAAGCCUGUAGGGGUGAGCACAGUGGGCCCAGUUCAUAGAAUUAUUUCCUUAACCUCAUGUGCCCCCCAUUAUUUCAAAAUAGGCUUUGAAUAAAAAUUAUUUUCCUACCAAUUUGACUGAGAAUAUUUCAAAAGCAAACAACACUAUAACCCAACCUCUUUCUUCGAAUGUAGUUUCAUUUGACCUUGGAACUAUGUAAAAAUAUUUUAUGCGAUGAUAAAACUAAAUAUUAAAAAGUUCCAAUCCCUAAACGUCAACAAUGCAAUGAGUUAAAUGGAUCUGUGUAUCUAAUGGGAUGAACACAGAGAAGGGAAUCUUCCAAAUAGACUGGGAAACAGGAUUGUAACUUCUCCUCUGUGACAGACCUUACAGCAGCAGUUCUGACACUUUGAACACAGGGCCCAUUUAUACUCUUGAAAAUAAUGAGAAUCCAAGGGCUGGGGUCAUGGCUCAGUGGUAGACUGCUUGCCUGAUAUGUAUGAGCCACUGGGUUCAAUCCUCAGCACCACAUAAAUAAAUAAAGGAAGUAAUAAU
RNAcentral lists this long non-coding RNA (1107 nucleotides) under Marmota monax (woodchuck). The record is from RNAcentral. Lineage: Eukaryota; Metazoa; Chordata; Mammalia; Rodentia; Sciuridae.